Xyrichtys novacula (pearly razorfish) is the source of this 641-nucleotide non-coding RNA. NCBI's taxonomy places the organism in Eukaryota, Metazoa, Chordata, Actinopteri, Labriformes, Labridae. The record is from the annotation of a GenBank genome assembly.
AAAAAAAAACUAACAAACCAAAAACAACAAACUGUCCAAACAGGCGAGCGACCAGUGAAACCAGUUACACUGGUCUAACAGGUUAGAGUCACUGAACUGGUCUAACUGGUUAAACUGGUCUAACUGGUUUCCCUCAGUCCUCCUCAGAGUCCAUGUUGAGUCUCUGAUCCUGAUCCAGAGUCACUCUGGUUUCUCUUGAUCACAGUCAGACAUGUAAACAGUGUUCUUUAUCACCAUGGUAACAGUGUUCGUUAUCACCAUGGCAACAGUGUUCCUUAUCACCAUGGCAACAGUGUUCCUUAUCACCAUGGUAACGGUGUUCGUUAUCACUAUGUUAACAGUGUUCGUUAUCACCAUGGUAACAGUGUUCGUUAUCACCAUGGUAACAGUAGUCAGUUAUCACCAUGGUAACAGUAGUCAGUUAUCACCACGGUAACCAGACGCUGGCAGAUUAUCCAAUCAGAGAGAAAAAAAGAAACACCCGGAACUUUCCCUUUGAUCUGAACAUGUGGACAGGUGGGCGGGACCACAGGUGUCAGAUUACUGAUCAGAUUAUUGGAGUCAGAUUAUAACUCAGAGCUGACCUGAUCUGAUUGUUGAUCCUGUUUUUAGUUUUUAGAUCCUGAUGUUGGUGACGUUUG